This 567-nucleotide ribosomal RNA is filed under the name uncultured bacterium. Its description in RNAcentral is "bacterial SSU rRNA". It matches the Rfam family "Bacterial small subunit ribosomal RNA", at positions 338 to 916 of the family's 1533-position model. The record is from RNAcentral.
CCUACGGGAGGCAGCAGUGGGGAAUUUUCCGCAAUGGGCGAAAGCCUGACGGAGCAAUACCGCGUGAGGGAAGAAAGCCUACUGGGUUGUAAACCUCUUUUUUCAGGGAGGAAAAAAAUGACGUGUACCUGAAGAAUAAGCAUCGGCUAACUCCGUGCCAGCAGCCGCGGUAAGACGGAGGAUGCAAGUGUUAUCCGGAAUUACUGGGCGUAAAGCGUCUGUAGGUGGUUUAAUAAGUCAACUGUUAAAUCUUGAGGCUUAACUUCAAAACAGCAGUCGAAACUAUUAGACUAGAGUAUAGUAGGGGUAAAGGGAAUUUCCAGUGGAGCGGUGAAAUGCGUAGAUAUUGGAAAGAGCACCGAUGGCGAAAGCACUUUACUGGGCUAUUACUAACGCUCAGAGACGAAAGCUAGGGUAGCAAAUGGGAUUAGAUACCCCAGUAGUCCUAGCUGUAAACAAUGGAUACUAGAUGUUGAACAGAUCGACCUGUGCAGUAUUAAAGCUAACGCGUUAAGUAUCCCGCCUGGGAAGUAUGCUCGCAAGAGUGAAACUUAAAGGAAUUGACGG